AGCAAACGCUGGCGGCGUGCCUAAUACAUGCAAGUCGAACGAAGAAAGCUCUUCGGAGCGAGUAAGAGUGGCGCACGGGUGAGUAACGCGUGGAUAACGUGCCCUAGAGUGGGGAAUAGCCCAUCGAAAGAUGGAUUAAUACCGCAUAAGACUACAGUCUCUAUGGAGACAGUGGUCAAAGAUUUAUCGCUCUAGGAUCGGUCCGCGUAGGAUUAGCUUGUUGGUGAGGUAAAGGCUCACCAAGGCUUCGAUCUUUAGCUGGUUUGAGAGGAUGAUCAGCCACACUGGAACUGAGACACGGUCCAGACUCCUACGGGAGGCAGCAGUAGGGAAUCUUGCACAAUGGGGGAAACCCUGAUGCAGCAACGCCGCGUGAGUGAUUAAGGCUUUAGGGUCGUAAAGCUCUGUCGUAAGGGAAUAACACAAUGAAGGUACCUUACAAGAAAGGACCGGCUAACUUCG
RNAcentral lists this ribosomal RNA (462 nucleotides) under uncultured delta proteobacterium. RNAcentral's name for it is "bacterial SSU rRNA". It matches the Rfam family "Bacterial small subunit ribosomal RNA", at positions 29 to 505 of the family's 1533-position model. The record is from RNAcentral. Lineage: Bacteria; Deltaproteobacteria.